AGAGUUUGAUCCUGGCUCAGAUUGAACGCUGGCGGAAUGCUUUACACAUGCAAGUCGAACGGCAGCACGGGAGCUUGCUCCUGGUGGCGAGUGGCGAACGGGUGAGUAAUGCGUCGGAACGUACCGAGUAAUGGGGGAUAACGCAGCGAAAGCUGUGCUAAUACCGCAUACGCCCUGAGGGGGAAAGUGGGGGAUCGUAAGACCUCACGUUAUUCGAGCGGCCGACGUCUGAUUAGCUAGUUGGUGGGGUAAAGGCUCACCAAGGCGACGAUCAGUAGCGGGUCUGAGAGGAUGAUCCGUCACACUGGAACUGAGACACGGUCCAGACUCCUACGGGAGGCAGCAGUGGGGAAUUUUGGACAAUGGGGGCAACCCUGAUCCAGCCAUUCCGCGUGAGUGAAGAAGGCCUUCGGGUUGUAAAGCUCUUUCAGCCGGAACGAAACGGUACGCACUAAUAUUGUGUGCUAAUGACGGUACCGUAAGAAUAAGCACCGGCUAACUACGUGCCAGCAGCCGCGGUAAUACGUAGGGUGCAAGCGUUAAUCGGAAUUACUGGGCGUAAAGCGUGCGCAGGCGGUGAUGUAAGACAGUCGUGAAAUCCCCGGGCUCAACCUGGGAAUUGCGAUUGUGACUGCAUCGCUGGAGUGCGGCAGAGGGGGAUGGAAUUCCGCGUGUAGCAGUGAAAUGCGUAGAUAUGCGGAGGAACACCGAUGGCGAAGGCAAUCCCCUGGGCCUGCACUGACGCUCAUGCACGAAAGCGUGGGGAGCAAACAGGAUUAGAUACCCUGGUAGUCCACGCCCUAAACGAUGUCAACUGGGUUGUUGGGUCUCUUCUGACUCAGUAACGAAGCUAACGCGUGAAGUUGACCGCCUGGGGGAGUACGGUCGCAAGAUUAAAACUCAAAUGAAUUGACGG
Molecule: ribosomal RNA, 916 nt
Filed under: uncultured bacterium
Lineage: Bacteria
Description: bacterial SSU rRNA
Rfam family: Bacterial small subunit ribosomal RNA
Source: RNAcentral